This 440-nucleotide ribosomal RNA is filed under the name uncultured bacterium. RNAcentral's name for it is "partial 16S ribosomal RNA". It matches the Rfam family "Bacterial small subunit ribosomal RNA", at positions 338 to 795 of the family's 1533-position model. The record is from RNAcentral.
CCUACGGGCGGCAGCAGUAGGGAAUAUUGCUCAAUGGGGGAAACCCUGAAGCAGCAACGCCGCGUGGAGGAUGAAGGUUUUCGGAUUGUAAACUCCUUUUGUUAGAGAAGAUAAUGACGGUAUCUAACGAAUAAGCACCGGCUAACUCCGUGCCAGCAGCCGCGGUAAUACGGAGGGUGCAAGCGUUAUUCGGAAUCACUGGGCGUAAAGAGCGCGUAGGCGGGAUAGCAAGUCAGAUGUGAAAGCCUAGGGCUUAACCAUAGAACUGCAUUUGAAACUGUUAUUCUAGAGUAUGGGAGAGGUAGGUGGAAUUCUUGGUGUAGGGGUAAAAUCCGUAGAGAUCAAGAGGAAUACUCAUUGCGAAGGCGACCUGCUAGAACAUAACUGACGCUGAUGCGCGAAAGCGUGGGGAGCAAACAGGAUUAGAUACCCUUGUAGUC